CUUUAAGUGGUCUUAAAAACAACACUGCCUUUGGAUUUGUCAGUGCUGCUCCUAAUGUGACUAAUGUCCUGUUCUCCUCUUCCUCUCUGUCUUCCUCUUCUUCUUCUCCCUGUAUCUACUUCUCAGUAGUACCACUGCAACCUAAUAUCCCCACCGUGCCUCCUCCUCCACCUCCUCCUCCACCUCCUCCUCCUCUUCCUCCUGUCUCUCAGGCACCUCCCCCUCCUCCUCCUCUAAGCAACGGAUUUCACUUCUCGUUUGUCUAAUCAGAGAAAACAAACCAAUGUGCUUUCUGGACACUGAGGUGCUGUUCCAUGAUGACAAUACAACCUGGAUUCUUGAGGAAAGAAAGACUUUGUUUGGUGCUGACGGUUACACUGUUAUACAGUAGAUGAGUGUUAGUGAACAUUUAACCUGCCCUCAGUAGCACGCAGCAGGACUUACUCGCUGAUGCAUUUUUAGGAGCUAAAAAUGAAGUAACUAUUUUCUUAAGAAAAUGUGUGUCUGCCGUGAAAGCUGCUGUGCAUAUUAACUUUGGAAGUGUCUAGCAGAUGUUAAUCCCAUAAUAGAAAAGGUUUUAUACAUGUUAUUGUACUUUUAGCAUUAUACUGUAUCAUAGUGAAGAACUGAAAGAGAUAUUUUCAAGGUGAGAAGGUUUUGUCUUGCUGUGUGAUCUGAAUUUGGAGGGAACUUGUAUUUGUUUUUUUAAAGUUAAUGAGAGUAUUCACCAACUGGAAGGUCGAUAUGAACAUGAUAAGGUACUGAACAUGUGUCAUGUUGAUUGUAUUUUUGUCAAAACUCAGAUGAUAUUCUUACACCAAAUCACUUGAAAUGUAAUUUGUGUUUGUAUCUAGCACUGCCAGUCUCUUAAGGGCUUGCCAAAUGGAUUUUUAUUUUUGCUUACAACAUUGGGAGGAAAAUAACAUUGAACAUAGUAUUUUCUGGAUGGCUUGGGCAGGUUGCACAAUGAUAAUUAUUACAAAUGUAAAUAUUAAAGAUAUUAACAUGACAUUUGCCUUAUCAAAUGUUUUGUCUUCAGACAACAGACUCAUGCAGUAGUCAUUAUAACCGUUAUAAAAUGAUAAUGAUAUACUGAGGUAUUCAGAGAAUGUGAACCCCCAAAACUCUUUGGUCUUAUAGCCUAUUGUACUGUAUUGAAUUUAAAUCAUAUGUUAUUGCGUCAGUUUAAUAAUUGUACUACUCUGUGGAUGACAGUUGAAUAAUAUGGUUGACUGUGUUGGAAUCUUCAAAACCCUUUAUCUUGUGCCAGUUCUGAUAACCUUCUCUUCAUGCUGACCAAAAAGUACAAAAUGUAGCCUCAUCACAGCUCCAAGGAUUCUCUUUGAACAUUCCUAUUGAUUGCUUUGCCCUGUUACAUUUCAUUCUAUUAUCUGAGAAGGGAAUCCAACUUUACAGGCUCAAACCAAAUGAGGCGAACUUUCAAUACAAAAAAACAUGAAAUGUUUCUUUAGUUCAAAGCUUCUCCUUCUUAAAGGGUAUUUUCUAUUCCGUGUCUCUACAUUUUCAACUGGGAAGGUGGGUAGUAAUAGCAUUGGUGUAUCUGAAGCAUAGAAUUUAUAUCUUUAAAUCAAAGAUCUUUUACUUUGUAAAAUAAACCUCUUGAGACGAACAUGGCAUUGAACUUAUGAAUCAAAGCUGAUGGAAUUAUGAAUCUAAGCUUUUUGUAACUUACUUUUUCACAUGUUCUGUAAAUGGAAGGUCAGCUAUAUAAAAGUCAUGACUAGAACCAAUUGCAAUUGUUCUGUCAGUCCUAUACAUAAUUCUACAGUUCUAACAUAUUCGCUAAGCAUGUACUGGUAUCUUGCUUAUAGGCUAUGCUCCUUUGGCUGGUGGUCCAGUAGACUGCUCUCACCUCCCUUGUGAGAUCUUUAUCUUUAAUUGGAGAGUAAUUACAUACACUUGUCUGCAUCAUGGUACUCUUUGAAAACACCUGUGAGAGGGGAUGCACCUCCCAGAGCUCCACAGUGGGAUCUGCCACAUCUCCUCUCUCUCCAUGCCAUCUCGAGGAGUGGGAGUGUGGGCCCCAGAGUGCCUGCUAGUCCUGGUGGGUAUAAGACCCAUCACAUCCGCUAUUCUGCUUAUUUUGCAAUAAAUGGGCUGUUUUUUUCCUCCUCCUGCAGAAAUUCACCCAAGACCAUCCACUGAGGAUUGUGGCAUUUCCAUGUAUUGACGUUUGGCUGCUGGUUCAUAUACAUUUGUUAUGCUAUACUCUGGACUUCAAAGAGAAUGAAAUAGGGCCUAUUAUGCUAAUUCUGUCUUGUUCUGUUCAACGUAAUCAAGGCCUCACACAUUAAUCCUUUACAAAAUGUUCCUCACUGACUCUUGGAAAAGGUUUUCAAAUGUACAUGAAUAGAAAAAGGAAUUCCUGACUUUCCCAGAUGACUCCAAAAUCCCGUAAUUGAGCACUUGGGGGGAGACAACCUUUAGUCAUUUUGAAACUAUAAAUGAUUAGAGAAUUUGAUAUGAAAUCCAGAGUAAACAAUUGUGAAAAACAGUGAAGGUUUCUCUUCCCACAUGAUUGUAACAGGGUGGAACUGUUUGUUGGUAGACAUGCCCCAUGUUAACCCUUGCCAGUCCCAGGUAUAGCAUGUUUCAAUAAAGGGCAUGGCCCUGGGUAUUUAAGCUUGACUUUUUGUGUCAUUCACAAUAUUCCAUGACCACUAGAAGGCUGACGUGUGCAGGGAGGAUGGUCUAGUAGUGAAAGUCCAGUCAGUGUCUCUAUUAGACACCAUAAGAAUCCUGACUGGACUCUGACUGGACAUGAGCUGAACCAAAGGAUCCAACACAAAAGGUACUUUGAUUCCAAAAUGGUCUUUUAUGCUCUUUUAUCAUCUCAAGAUCAAUAUACAUGCUUUAAUAAGGGAUGGGCUGGUGUUCAAUUAUUGAACAGUUAAGAAUAAUUGAAUAUUCUCUCCCAACACACUGUACAUGCCUACAUAAAAUGAAAAUAAUAAAAUAAACCUGUAACUUUUUAAGACUGAUAUUUAAUAGUAUAUUCAUUGUCUCAUUCUCGCUCAGUUUAUUGCAAUACAACUUAUUCAAUGGUUAACUUAUUCAAUGGUUAUUCAAUGCUUCAGCACACCCCUAGACUUUUUCCACAUUUUGAUGUGUUACAAGCUAAAUUUAAAAUUGAUUCAAUUGAGAUUUGUUGUCACUGGCCUAUAAUGUAAAAGUGGAAUUAUGUUUUUAAACAUGUUUACAAAUAAAGGAAAAGCUGAA
Oncorhynchus tshawytscha (Chinook salmon) is the source of this 3240-nucleotide long non-coding RNA. The record is from Ensembl. NCBI's taxonomy places the organism in Eukaryota, Metazoa, Chordata, Actinopteri, Salmoniformes, Salmonidae.